RNAcentral lists this long non-coding RNA (1259 nucleotides) under Rattus norvegicus (Norway rat). Its description in RNAcentral is "long non-coding RNA NONRATT028966". Lineage: Eukaryota; Metazoa; Chordata; Mammalia; Rodentia; Muridae. The record is from RNAcentral.
UCUCAGGUGCAGGGUCUACAAAUAAUUUUUAUUGAAAUUGAACAAAGAACACAACAGUCUUCCUAUGCUGGGGUUUACUCUCCCCAAGCCAUUUCCCACACUCUAGAAGCACAGAGCUUCCACAAAUAAGUUUUUUUUUUUAAAAGCCAUCUCUGUAUAGAAAUCAGACUCUGCCCCAACAUUAUCAUAGUCUAGACUAUUUACAAACCUUCACAUUUUAAUUACACCUGUUCUGUAUUUCCCCUUCCUUCCUAUCCUUACCAAGGAGCUCUGGUACUUUUCCUUAACAGACCCUGAAGGAGUAAGAUGCUGUAGAAGGGGUGAUGGGCUCCUCAUAGCUACUGGCACCAGCCCCAGUUGUUGUGUCUUGCCACUGGGUGGUGGACCGCCUCUCCCCCACCACUGGAGAUUUGUAGGACUGGUGCAUAGGCAAGGGAGACGACAGAAUGCGGUGGUGGGGUGGGGCAAGACCCCACAGCUACAGGCGUCUGUAGCCUGUACCCUCUCGACUUGAGGGUGACUGGUUGAAAUCAAGAGAGAUCAGUCCAGCCCUGGCUGGGUGAAAGGAGAAGCCUCCCACACUGGUCCCCAUUCUCUGUUAACAGCCAGCAAAGUGUCCGUCUUAGAGUGGGAGCACGUGGCAGGUAGGCAGGAAGGAGGAGGCUGGUACAUGUCUCCAGUCUGUCCAAUACAGGAGGAAUCGAGGUAGCAAACGGCUGAAAUGCUCUGACUACAGGUAAGGGAAUGAGGGAAAGGAAGUUCCCACUUGGGUAGAGCCCCUACAGGCCAGGGGCCGGAAGAAGGCAGACUCUGCUUGUAAAGUGCUGUAGCUUCUAGGAGGGCUGGGCCCUAGCCAAGCUUGGAAGAAAGCAGGUCAGACAAGUAACUAGGAACCAGGCAUUCCUGACCGGCAUGUGUCCUGCCAUGCUUCUUGUAGAAGUGGCUGGGGGAGACAGGCUGGUAAUUCUGUCAUUAGCUCUCACCAGCCACCAACCACUUAUUGUUCAGACAUAAACCAAUACCAGUUAACACUGAGGGACUACCCCUCUUACAACUGAAGGUUCUGGGCCAACGGAGUUUAGUUUAUUCAGGGCUGUGGCGCCAGCCUGGACUCCUGAAUGGAAGCUACACCUGGAUCCUGGGAGUUUCUUGCUGGGGCAGUGGGUGCUUGUGUCUGCCAUGCCACAGGCUCAUACUUCAUAGAGGAUCACGGGGAAAUCCACGUGGAUUCGGGGGGGAUCCAGCUUCACGAUGCCCUG